AAAGUUCUUUUAUUUAGGAAAAAAAGCUUGAGAGGAAAUGAUUAAGCCUUGAUUGUACUAAAUGAAUAAGUGACAGCUAACUAUGUGCCAGCAGCUGCGGUAAAACAUAGGUCACGAGCAUUAUCCGGAUUUAUUGGGCGUAAAGGAAGCGUAGGCGGACAAAUUGAUCUAUUGUUAAAGGCACUUGCUCAACGAGUUGUUUGUGAUAGAUAUCGUUUGUCUAGAAUUAGUUAGGAGAUACUGGAAUUCAAUGUGUAGCGGUGGAAUGCGUAGAUAUAUUGAGGAACACCAGAGGCUAAGGCGAGUAUCUAGGACAUAAUUGACGCUGAGGCUUGAAAGCGUGGGGAGCAAAUGGGAUUAGAUACCCCAGUAGUCCACGCCGUAAACGAUGGGUAUUAGGUAUUUGGUUUAGGACUGAGUGCUGUAGCUAACGCGUUAAAUACCCCGCCUGGGUAGUAUAUAUGCAAAUAGAUAAAAAA
RNAcentral lists this ribosomal RNA (479 nucleotides) under Candidatus Mycoplasma haematominutum. RNAcentral describes it as "bacterial SSU rRNA". It matches the Rfam family "Bacterial small subunit ribosomal RNA", at positions 427 to 906 of the family's 1533-position model. The record is from RNAcentral. Lineage: Bacteria; Bacillati; Mycoplasmatota; Mollicutes; Mycoplasmatales; Mycoplasmataceae.